RNAcentral lists this ribosomal RNA (497 nucleotides) under uncultured bacterium. Its description in RNAcentral is "partial 16S ribosomal RNA". It matches the Rfam family "Bacterial small subunit ribosomal RNA", at positions 28 to 507 of the family's 1533-position model. The record is from RNAcentral.
GAUGAACGCUGGCGGCGUGCCUAAUACAUGCAAGUCGAGCGAACAGACGAGGAGCUUGCUCCUCUGCCGUUAGCGGCGGACGGGUGAGUAACACGUGGAUACCCUACCUAUAAGACUGGGAUAACUUCGGGAAACCGGAGCUAAUACCGGAUCUUAUAUUGAACCGCAUGGUUCAAUAGUGAAAGACGGUUUUGCUGUCACUUAUAGAUGGUUCCGCGCCGCAUUAGCUAGUUGGUAAGGUAACGGCUUACCAAGGCAACGAUGCGUAGCCGACCUGAGAGGGUGAUCGGCCACACUGGAACUGAGACACGGUCCAGACUCCUACGGGAGGCAGCAGUAGGGAAUCUUCCGCAAUGGGCGAAAGCCUGACGGAGCAACGCCGCGUGAGUGAUGAAGGUCUUCGGAUCGUAAAACUCUGUUAUUAGGGAAGAACAAAUGUGUAAGUAACUAUGCACGUCUUGACGGUACCUAAUCAGAAAGCCACGGCUAACUACGUG